Molecule: transfer RNA, 76 nt
Filed under: Paracoccaceae bacterium
Lineage: Bacteria; Pseudomonadati; Pseudomonadota; Alphaproteobacteria; Rhodobacterales; Paracoccaceae
Description: Rhodobacteraceae bacterium (sponge metagenome) tRNA-Thr
Rfam family: tRNA
About the family: Transfer RNA (tRNA) molecules are approximately 80 nucleotides in length. Their secondary structure includes four short double-helical elements and three loops (D, anti-codon, and T loops).
Source: RNAcentral
GCCCCAAUAGCUCAGCCGGUAGAGCAACUGUUUCGUAAAUAGUAGGUCGGCGGUUCGAGUCCGUCUUGGGGCACCA